Molecule: ribosomal RNA, 460 nt
Filed under: uncultured bacterium
Lineage: Bacteria
Description: partial 16S ribosomal RNA
Rfam family: Bacterial small subunit ribosomal RNA
Source: RNAcentral
CCUACGGGAGGCAGCAGUGAGGAAUAUUGGUCAAUGGGCGAGAGCCUGAACCAGCCAAGUCGCGUGAAGGAUGAAGGAUCUAUGGAUCGUAAACUUCUUUUAUCUGGGAAUAAAGUGAGGAACGUGUUCCUUUUUGUAUGUACCAUAUGAAUAAGCAUCGGCUAACUCCGUGCCAGCAGCCGCGGUAAUACGGAGGAUGCGAGCGUUAUCCGGAUUUAUUGGGUUUAAAGGGUGAGCAGGUGGUUAAUUAAGUCAGCGGUGAAAGUUUGUGGCUCAACCAUAAGAUUGCCGUUGACACUGGCUGACUUGAGUAGAAUUGAGGUAGGCGGAAUGCGUGGUGUAGCGGUGAAAUGCAUAGAUAUCGCGCAGAACUCCGAUUGCGAAGGCAGCUUACUAGACUAUAACUGACGCUGAAGCACGAAAGCGUGGGGAUCGAACAGGAUUAGAUACCCGAGUAGUC